GAUGAACGCUGGCGGCGUGCCUAAUACAUGCAAGUCGAACGAAACUUCUUUAUCACCGAGUGCUUGCACUCACCGAUAAAGAGUUGAGUGGCGAACGGGUGAGUAACACGUGGGCAACCUGCCCAAAAGAGGGGGAUAACACUUGGAAACAGGUGCUAAUACCGCAUAACCAUAGUUACCGCAUGGUAACUAUGUAAAAGGUGGCUAUACUACCGCUUUUGGAUGGGCCCGCGGCGCAUUAGCUAGUUGGUAGGGUAAAGGCUUACCAAGGCAAUGAUGCGUAGCCGAAUUGAGAGGUUGAUCGGCCACAUUGGGGCUAAGACACGGCCCAUACUCCUCCGGGAGGCAGCAGUAGGGAAUCUUACACAAUGGGCGAAAGCCUGAUGGAGCAACGCCGCGUGGGUGAAGAAGGUCUUCGGAUCGUAAAACCCUGUUGUUAGAGAAGAAAGUGCGUGAGAGUAACUGUUCACGUUUCGACGGUAUCUAACCAGAAAGCCACGGCUAACUACGUG
RNAcentral lists this ribosomal RNA (512 nucleotides) under uncultured bacterium. RNAcentral's name for it is "partial 16S ribosomal RNA". It matches the Rfam family "Bacterial small subunit ribosomal RNA", at positions 28 to 507 of the family's 1533-position model. The record is from RNAcentral.